Long non-coding RNA from Anneissia japonica, 1012 nucleotides. RefSeq lists it as uncharacterized. The record is from RefSeq and is a predicted model, not a curated record. The transcript is spliced from 4 exons. Lineage: Eukaryota; Metazoa; Echinodermata; Crinoidea; Comatulida; Comatulidae.
GUUUAUGUCAGCUGUUGGUUUUGUCGAUAUAAUUUUUUUGAACCAGUUAUAAAAGGAAUGGCGUCAUUUGACGGUGGCAUUUAAUCGACGUCUUCUGAGAACUCAAUCUGAGAGCAGCUUUACAUCACAGUUUCACCAUCAAGUCAAAGAUGAAUAAAUUAGCAGUUAUUAUUGUCAUCGCUCUCUCCGUUACUAUGGUAACUUCGAGAACCUACCAUGGUGACUAUAGCGGCAGACCAUUGUGUAGGAGUGGAGCACAGGGGUAUAGAAGUUGUGAGACGAUCGGCGAAUGGACAUGCGUACCAAAGACGGACGAAAGAUCUGGUAGGACAAUGGGAGAGCUUAAGCAAGGGAAUAAAGCCGAUUUCGAUGAAUGCAACGACAGACGAUAGAUAUCAAAAGCAAAACCAGAGCGUCAGUAGCCGCGUUAAUGUCAAUCGAACUGACUGUAUACGCAAUGAUGUAGGCCUCUUAUAUAGGCUGCGCUUGCAGAUUGUUAAUCUUUUUUCUUAAUUUAAAAAUAUUGUUUAAAAGAAAAUUAUACAGUUCGUACUAUAUAAAUGUUCCUAUAUUCUAGUACUGAUAAUAUUAUUUAUUUGUUUAAAUGUGUAAUUCAAAGGAAACUUAAUUAAAAUAAACUUAAAUUAAAUAGUAUAGGCCUAGUAGUAAAUUAGGUUUGGUGGGCAGCUUAAACACAACACUGAUACAAAUAGAUAUAGGCCCUAUAGGUCUAAAAAAUAACAGUGCUCUCUCUCUCUCUCUCUCUAUAUAUAUAUAUAUAUACAUACAUACAUACAUACAUAUAUAAUAUAUAUUUAAAUUAGGUUUGCACAUAAACAAAUGGAUACAAUAAUAACAAUAAAAGUGCUUGAGACUGUCAUUAUUAUAUUUAUCAUUUGUUUAUAUUGUAUAUUAUGUAUGUGCGUAUAUAAUGUACACAUCACUGAUAAAUGCCACAUGAGUACAGUAUUUAAGAGUGAAAAUGGUACGAUUAAAAUGUUAUAAAAAGAAA